AAACAGGGAGGGGGUUUGAGCUGGAAAAUAUGGUGUAGAAACCAACUAGGGCGCAAGGCUCAAUGUGGCUUUCAACUUGGAAUCAGAAGAUACAUGAGCAAUUAACGGGUCUGGGAUGGAAUGUGAGCCAAAUUUCAUAUGAGAGAAAAGUUCAAGAGCUACGUGUUCAUGCUGUCAUCUGAAACUCACGUGUUUCACAUGCCUAAGUGUCCAGUUCAAAAGAAAUCACCGGCGGCGGCGGAGCCUAAACGACUAAAACAUUAUACCAAACUUUUCAUUUUAAUACCCUGAGUACUAGUCCAUGAUCAAUUUUCCAAAAUUCUUUAUCAAUUAAACAAACACGGUCGAUUCACAUAAGAACCCUAACUAGAAAUUUUAAAAAUUAAACUCCAAUCAUCUGGAAUCAAAGCCCUAGGGGUUGAGGCUUUGAUUCCCCAAUCUUAUACCUACAUUCUGGUAACUAACUCGGUGCAAAUGGAGGGAAAAACUUGAAAACUCACCGGCGGAGAAGAUGCGGAGGGAAACAAUAUUCAGGGCUAGUUUGAGUGGAGUGCAAGCCUUGGUGCUUGGAAUCAAGAUGUUUGGAAUGCACAUGAAGAAAAAAAAAGCUUACUUACAAGUGAAGUUAUGCCAUGAAGUUGAAAGAAAAGCACGAGGAAACCAAAUGGAAACUAGGAAUUAGGUUUGAUGAUUAGAUGAGUUGAUUUGGUCAACUGGGUGACCAAAAAGUCAACAGUUGACCAAGUCAAUUAUAGGUAAAAAUUCAGUUUUUGUAAUUUCUUUGUAUGAACAUUAUAUGGACAUUGUAACAUGAUAUGUGUGAAUGUAAUUAAAGUUCUAUUUGAAUGUAAUUAAAGUUUUAUUUGAA
Long non-coding RNA from Lathyrus oleraceus (garden pea), 868 nucleotides. RefSeq lists it as uncharacterized. The transcript has 2 exons. The record is from RefSeq and is a predicted model, not a curated record. Lineage: Eukaryota; Viridiplantae; Streptophyta; Magnoliopsida; Fabales; Fabaceae.